This 315-nucleotide ribosomal RNA is filed under the name Bifidobacterium animalis. RNAcentral's name for it is "bacterial SSU rRNA". It matches the Rfam family "Bacterial small subunit ribosomal RNA", at positions 46 to 359 of the family's 1533-position model. Lineage: Bacteria; Bacillati; Actinomycetota; Actinomycetes; Bifidobacteriales; Bifidobacteriaceae. The record is from RNAcentral.
GGCGUCCUACUGCAGGUCCACGGGAUCCCUGGCAGCUUGCUGUCGGGGUGAGAGUGGCGAACGGGUGAGUAAUGCGUGACCAACCUGCCCUGUGCACCGAAUAGCUCCUGGAAACGGGUGGUAAUACCGGAUGCUCCGCUCCAUCGCAUGGUGGGGUGGGAAAUGCUUUUGCGGCAUGGGAUGGGGUCGCGUCCUAUCAGCUUGUUGGCGGGGUGAUGGCCCACCAAGGCGUUGACGGGUAGCCGGCCUGAGAGGGUGACCGGCCACAUUGGGACUGAGAUACGGCCCAGACUCCUACGGGAGGCAGCAGUAGGA